UUAAGUUCAGCGGGUAGUCCUACCUGAUCCGAGGUCAGCCUUGUGCCGCCGGAGCGGGCUUGAUGGGGGUUUAGAGGCUAGCGCCCACGGGCUCCCGAUGCGAGGCUAAUGCUACUACGCAAAGGAGAGGGCCACGCGGGACCGCCACUGCUUUCAGGGCCUACAGACGUAGGGCCCCAACGCCGGGCCACGGGGGCUCG
This 200-nucleotide unclassified non-coding RNA is filed under the name Hypocreales sp. RNAcentral's name for it is "partial internal transcribed spacer 2". Lineage: Eukaryota; Fungi; Ascomycota; Sordariomycetes; Hypocreales. The record is from RNAcentral.